Molecule: ribosomal RNA, 505 nt
Filed under: uncultured bacterium
Lineage: Bacteria
Description: bacterial SSU rRNA
Rfam family: Bacterial small subunit ribosomal RNA
Source: RNAcentral
AGAGUUUGAUCCUGGCUCAGGACGAACGCUGGCGGCGUGCUUAACACAUGCAAGUUGAACGGAGCACAUCAAGUAGCAAUACGAGGUGUGCUUAGUAGCGGACGGGUGAGUAACGCGUGAGUAACCUACCUUUGUGAGGGGGACAACAGCUGGAAACGGCUGCUAAUACCGCAUAAGGCCACGACUCCGAGUGGAGACGAGGUAAAAGAUUUAUCGCACAAAGAUGGACUCGCGUCCCAUUAGCUAGUUGGUGAGGUAACGGCCCACCAAGGCGACGAUGGGUAGCCGACCUGAGAGGGUGAUCGGCCACACUGGAACUGAGACACGGUCCAGACUCCUACGGGAGGCAGCAGUGGGGAAUAUUGGGCAAUGGGCGCAAGCCUGACCCAGCAACGCCGCGUGAGGGAAGAAGGUCUUCGGAUUGUAAACCUCUGUCCUAUGGGACGAAAAAAAUGACGGUACCAUAGGAGGAAGCUCCGGCUAACUACGUGCCAGCAGCCGCGGU